AGAGUUUGAUCCUGGCUCAGAACGAACGCUGGCGGCAGGCCUAACACAUGCAAGUCGAGCGCGCCUUCGGGCGAGCGGCGGACGGGUUAGUAACGCGUGGGAACGUGCCCAGAUCUACGGAAUAGCCACUGGAAACGGUGAGUAAUACCGUAUACGCCCUUCGGGGGAAAGAUUUAUCGGAUUUGGAUCGGCCCGCGUUAGAUUAGGUAGUUGGUGGGGUAACGGCCUACCAAGCCUACGAUCUAUAGCUGGUUUUAGAGGAUGAUCAGCAACACUGGGACUGAGACACGGCCCAGACUCCUACGGGAGGCAGCAGUGGGGAAUCUUGGACAAUGGGGGCAACCCUGAUCCAGCCAUGCCGCGUGAGUGAAGAAGGCCCUAGGGUCGUAAAACUCUUUCGCCUGUGAUGAUAAUGACAGUAGCAGGUAAAGAAACCCCGGCUAACUCCGUGCCAGCAGCCGCGGUAAUACGGAGGGGGUUAGCGUUGUUCGGAAUUACUGGGCGUAAAGCGCACGUAGGCGGAUUAGAAAGUUAGAGGUGAAAUCCCGGGGCUCAACCCCGGAACUGCCUUUAAAACUACUAGUCUAGAGUUCGAGAGAGGUGAGUGGAAUUCCGAGUGUAGAGGUGAAAUUCGUAGAUAUUCGGAGGAACACCAGUGGCGAAGGCGGCUCACUGGCUCGAUACUGACGCUGAGGUGCGAAAGUGUGGGGAGCAAACAGGAUUAGAUACCCUGGUAGUCCACACCGUAAACGAUGAAUGCCAGUCGUCGGGUAGUAUACUAUUCGGUGACACACCUAACGGAUUAAGCAUUCCGCCUGGGGAGUACGGUCGCAAGAUUAAAACUCAAAGGAAUUGACGG
Molecule: ribosomal RNA, 859 nt
Filed under: uncultured marine bacterium
Lineage: Bacteria
Description: bacterial SSU rRNA
Rfam family: Bacterial small subunit ribosomal RNA
Source: RNAcentral